UGGGGAAUAUUGCACAAUGGGGGAAACCCUGAUGCAGCGACGCCGCGUGAGUGAAGAAGUAUUUCGGUAUGUAAAGCUCUAUCAGCAGGGAAGAGAAUGACGGUACCUGACUAAGAAGCCCCGGCUAACUACGUG
Molecule: ribosomal RNA, 135 nt
Filed under: uncultured Bacillota bacterium
Lineage: Bacteria; Bacillati; Bacillota
Description: uncultured Firmicutes bacterium partial 16S ribosomal RNA
Rfam family: Bacterial small subunit ribosomal RNA
Source: RNAcentral